This 251-nucleotide ribosomal RNA is filed under the name uncultured bacterium. RNAcentral's name for it is "partial 16S ribosomal RNA". It matches the Rfam family "Bacterial small subunit ribosomal RNA", at positions 524 to 776 of the family's 1533-position model. The record is from RNAcentral.
UACGUAGGGGGCAAGCGUUGUCCGGAUUUAUUGGGCGUAAAGAGCGUGUAGGCGGCUGGGUAGGUCCGUUGUGAAAACUCGAGCUCAACCUCGAGACGCCGAUGGAAACCCUCCAGCUAGAGUCCGGAAGAGGAGAGUGGAAUUCCUGGUGUAGCGGUGAAAUGCGCAGAUAUCAGGAAGAACACCCGUGGCUAAGGCGGCUCUCUAGUACGGUACUGACGCUGAGACGCGAAAGCGUGGGAGCAAACAGG